AUUGAACGCUGGCGGCAGGCCUAACACAUGCAAGUCGAACGGUAACAGGAAACAGCUUGCUGUUUCGCUGACGAGUGGCGGACGGGUGGGUAAUGUCUGGGAAACUGCCUGAUGGAGGGGGAUAACUACUGGAAACGGUAGCUAAUACCGCAUAACGUCGCAAGACCAAAGAGGGGGACCUUCGGGCCUCUUGCCAUCGGAUGUGCCCAGAUGGGAUUAGCUAGUAGGUGGGGUAACGGCUCACCUAGGCGACGAUCCCUAGCUGGUCUGAGAGGAUGACCAGCCACACUGGAACUGAGACACGGUCCAGACUCCUACGGGAGGCAGCAGUGGGGAAUAUUGCACGAUGGGCGCAAGCCUGAUGCAGCCACGCCGCGUGUAUGAAGAAGGCCUUCGGGUUGUAAAGUACUUUCAGCGGGGUUGAAGGGAGUAAAGUUAAUACCUUUGCUCAUUGACGUUACCCGCAGAAGAAGCACCGGCUAACUCCGUG
This 490-nucleotide ribosomal RNA is filed under the name uncultured bacterium. Its description in RNAcentral is "partial 16S ribosomal RNA". It matches the Rfam family "Bacterial small subunit ribosomal RNA", at positions 30 to 507 of the family's 1533-position model. The record is from RNAcentral.